RNAcentral lists this ribosomal RNA (194 nucleotides) under uncultured archaeon. RNAcentral's name for it is "partial 16S ribosomal RNA". It matches the Rfam family "Archaeal small subunit ribosomal RNA", at positions 281 to 469 of the family's 1478-position model. The record is from RNAcentral.
AGGAGAAGCCCGGAGAUGGGUACUGAGACACGGACCCUAGGCCCUAUGGGGCGCAGCUAGGCGAGAAAACUUUGCAAUGUGCGAAAGCACGACUAAGGUUAAUACCGAGUGGUUUCUGCUAAAGAAACCUUUUGUCUGUCCUAGAAACUACUAACGAAUAAGGGGUGGGCUAGUUCUGGUGUCCAGCCGCCGCG